AUACGGAGGGUGCAAGCGUUGUUCGGAAUCACUGGGCGUAAAGGGCGCGCAGGCGGUUUGGUAAGUCAGAUGUGAAAGCUCACGGCUCAACCGUGGAAGUGCAUUUGAAACUGUCAGACUUGAGUACUAGAGGGGAAAGUGGAAUUCCCGGUGUAGAGGUGAAAUUCGUAGAUAUCUGGAGGAAUACCGGUGGCGAAGGCGACUUUCUGGCUAGAUACUGACGCUCAGGCGCGAAAGCGUGGGGAGCAGACAGGAUUAGAAACCCCAGUAGUCC
Molecule: ribosomal RNA, 274 nt
Filed under: uncultured bacterium
Lineage: Bacteria
Description: partial 16S ribosomal RNA
Rfam family: Bacterial small subunit ribosomal RNA
Source: RNAcentral